This 253-nucleotide ribosomal RNA is filed under the name uncultured bacterium. Its description in RNAcentral is "partial 16S ribosomal RNA". It matches the Rfam family "Bacterial small subunit ribosomal RNA", at positions 524 to 776 of the family's 1533-position model. The record is from RNAcentral.
UACGGGGGGGGUAAGCGUUGUUCGGAAUUACUGGGCGUAAAGGGCUCGUAGGCGGCCAACUAAGUCAUACGUGAAAUCCCCCAGCUUAACUGGGGAACUGCGUGUGAUACUGGAUGGCUUGGAUUUGGGAGAGGGAUGCGGAAUUCCAGGUGUAGCGGUGAAAUGCGUAGAUAUCUGGAGGAACACCGGUGGCGAAGGCGGCAUCCUGGACCAAUAUUGACGCUGAGGAGCGAAAGCCAGGGGAGCAAACGGG